AGCGAACGCUGGCGGCAGGCUUAACACAUGCAAGCCGAGCGGGCACUUUCGGGUGUCAGCGGCGGACGGGUGAGUAACGCGUGGGAACGUGCCCUCUGGUUCGGAAUAACUCAGGGAAACUUGAGCUAAUACCGGAUACGCCCUUUUGGGGAAAGGCUUGCUGCCGGAGGAUCGGCCCGCGUCUGAUUAGCUAGUUGGUGAGGUAACGGCUCACCAAGGCGACGAUCAGUAGCUGGUCUGAGAGGAUGAUCAGCCACACUGGGACUGAGACACGGCCCAGACUCCUACGGGAGGCAGCAGUGGGGAAUAUUGGACAAUGGGCGCAAGCCUGAUCCAGCCAUGCCGCGUGAGUGAUGAAGGCCUUAGGGUUGUAAAGCUCUUUUAUCCGGGACGAUAAUGACGGUACCGGAGGAAUAAGCCCCGGCUAACUUCGUG
Molecule: ribosomal RNA, 435 nt
Filed under: uncultured bacterium
Lineage: Bacteria
Description: partial 16S ribosomal RNA
Rfam family: Bacterial small subunit ribosomal RNA
Source: RNAcentral